This 497-nucleotide ribosomal RNA is filed under the name uncultured bacterium. RNAcentral's name for it is "partial 16S ribosomal RNA". It matches the Rfam family "Bacterial small subunit ribosomal RNA", at positions 28 to 507 of the family's 1533-position model. The record is from RNAcentral.
GACGAACGCUGGCGGCGUGCCUAAUACAUGCAAGUUGAGCGAUGAAGAUUGGUGCUUGCACCAAUUUGAAGAGCAGCGAACGGGUGAGUAACGCGUGGGGAAUCUGGCUUUGAGCGGGGGACAACAUUUGGAAACGAAUGCUAAUACCGCAUAACAACUUUAAACAUAAGUUUUAAGUUUGAAAGAUGCAAUUGCAUCACUCAAAGAUGAUCCCGCGUUGUAUUAGCUAGUUGGUGAGGUAAAGGCUCACCAAGGCGAUGAUACAUAGCCGACCUGAGAGGGUGAUCGGCCACAUUGGGACUGAGACACGGCCCAAACUCCUACGGGAGGCAGCAGUAGGGAAUCUUCGGCAAUGGACGAAAGUCUGACCGAGCAACGCCGCGUGAGUGAAGAAGGUUUUCGGAUCGUAAAACUCUGUUGGUAGAGAAGAACGUUGGUGAGAGUGGAAAGCUCAUCAAGUGACGGUAACUACCCAGAAAGGGACGGCUAACUACGUG